GUGUCAGCAGCCGCGGUAAUACGAACCGUCCAAACGUUAUUCGGAAUCACUGGGCUUAAAGGGUGCGUAGGCGGCCCGAAAAGUUGGGUGUGAAAGCCCUCGGCUCAACCGAGGAAUUGCGCCCAAAACUGCCGGGCUCGAGGGAGACAGAGGUGAGCGGAACUUAGGGUGGAGCGGUGAAAUGCGUUGAUAUCCUAAGGAACACCAGUAGCGUAAGCGGCUCACUGGGUCUCUUCUGACGCUGAGGCACGAAAGCUAGGGGAGCGAAGAGGAUUAGAUACCCUGGUAGUCC
Molecule: ribosomal RNA, 292 nt
Filed under: uncultured bacterium
Lineage: Bacteria
Description: partial 16S ribosomal RNA
Rfam family: Bacterial small subunit ribosomal RNA
Source: RNAcentral